GAUGAACGCUGGCGGCGUGCCUAAUACAUGCAAGUCGAGCGAACGGACGAGAAGCUUGCUUCUCUGAUGUUAGCGGCGGACGGGUGAGUAACACGUGGAUAACCUACCUAUAAGACUGGGAUAACUUCGGGAAACCGGAGCUAAUACCGGAUAAUAUUUUGAACCGCAUGGUUCAAAAGUGAAAGACGGUCUUGCUGUCACUUAUAGAUGGAUCCGCGCUGCAUUAGCUAGUUGGUAAGGUAACGGCUUACCAAGGCAACGAUGCAUAGCCGACCUGAGAGUGUGAUCGCCCCCACUGGAACUGAGGCACGGUCCAGACUCCUACGGGAGGCAGCAGUAGGGAAUCUUCCGCAAUGGGCGAAAGCCUGACGGAGCAACGCCGCGUGAGUGAUGAAGGUCUUCGGAUCGUAAAACUCUGUUAUUAGGGAAGAACAUAUGUGUAAGUAACUGUGCACAUCUUGACGGUACCUAAUCAGAAAGCCACGGCUAACUACGUG
Molecule: ribosomal RNA, 497 nt
Filed under: uncultured bacterium
Lineage: Bacteria
Description: partial 16S ribosomal RNA
Rfam family: Bacterial small subunit ribosomal RNA
Source: RNAcentral